GUGAAUCAUCGAAUUUUUGAACGCAAAUUGCGCUCUCUUCGGAGAGUAUGCCUGUUUGAGGGUCAGCCUUAAUAAAAAUCGGUGUGUUGCUUCUUUGUGACGCUCCGGAGUUUGGGUCAUCUUAAUAUCCUUCAGGUUUUAAGAGACUUAACUUAAACUUUUUUUGCUCAUUUUAGAUAUACAUAAAUUCUUUUUUUUAUUCCUCUGUCUUAGUGUUCAUUAUUCUAUUAGAUGCGAC
This 238-nucleotide unclassified non-coding RNA is filed under the name Glomeraceae sp. RNAcentral's name for it is "partial contains 5.8S ribosomal RNA and internal transcribed spacer 2". The stretch from base 1 to 65 matches the Rfam family "5.8S ribosomal RNA", at positions 84 to 154 of the family's 154-position model. The record is from RNAcentral. Lineage: Eukaryota; Fungi; Glomeromycota; Glomeromycetes; Glomerales; Glomeraceae.